GUGCUCAAUUCAGUAACACAUAUACUAAAAUUGGAAAGAUACCUAGAAGAUUAGCAUGGCCGCUGAGCAAGGAUGACACGGAAAUCUGUGAAGUGUUCCAUAAUUAA
Molecule: small nuclear RNA, 107 nt
Filed under: Mus caroli (Ryukyu mouse)
Lineage: Eukaryota; Metazoa; Chordata; Mammalia; Rodentia; Muridae
Source: RNAcentral